This 65-nucleotide transfer RNA is filed under the name Dipodomys ordii (Ord's kangaroo rat). It matches the Rfam family "tRNA". Rfam says of the family: Transfer RNA (tRNA) molecules are approximately 80 nucleotides in length. The record is from Rfam by way of RNAcentral. Lineage: Eukaryota; Metazoa; Chordata; Mammalia; Rodentia; Heteromyidae.
GGUGGCUCGGUGGUGGAGCACUCGCCUCGCAUGCGUGAGGCCCUGGGUUCGAAUCCCCAGCACCA